GACGAACGCUGGCGGCGCGCUUUAUGCAUGCAAGUCGAACGGACCUUCGGGUCGAGUGGCGGACGGCUGAGUAACGCGUAGGCAAUCUGCCCAGUGGUGGGGGAGUAACUCGCCGAAAGGUGAGCUAAUACCGCAUAAGUUCGGUAGUUGAAAUCACCGCCGAGGAAAGCAGCAAUGCACCACUGGAGGAGCCUGCGUCCUAUCAGGUAGUUGGUGGGGUAACGGCCUACCAAGCCGAUGACGGGUAGCUGGUCUGAGAGGACGACCAGCCAGAAGGGGAC
Molecule: ribosomal RNA, 281 nt
Filed under: uncultured bacterium
Lineage: Bacteria
Description: partial 16S ribosomal RNA
Rfam family: Bacterial small subunit ribosomal RNA
Source: RNAcentral